Molecule: ribosomal RNA, 330 nt
Filed under: uncultured bacterium
Lineage: Bacteria
Description: bacterial SSU rRNA
Rfam family: Bacterial small subunit ribosomal RNA
Source: RNAcentral
CGCGUAGGUGGAUGCGUAAGUAAAUUGUAAAAGACCCGGGCUUAACCUGGGAAGGUCAAUUUAAACGGCGUGUCUGGAGUGGAGUAGAGGGAAGUAGAAUUUCCGGUGUAGCGGUGAAAUGCGUAGAUAUCGGAAGGAAUACCAGUGGCGAAGGCGUCUUCCUGGACUCUAACUGACACUGAGGCGCGAAAGCAUGGGGAUCAAACAGGAUUAGAUACCCUGGUAGUCCAUGCCAUAAACGAUGAAGACUAGCCGCAUGUGCCUUCGGGUAUGUGUGGCGCAGCUAACGCGAUAAGUCUUCCGCCUGGGGAGUACGGCCGCAAGGUUAAA